This 1635-nucleotide long non-coding RNA is filed under the name Schizosaccharomyces pombe (fission yeast). The record is from RNAcentral. Lineage: Eukaryota; Fungi; Ascomycota; Schizosaccharomycetes; Schizosaccharomycetales; Schizosaccharomycetaceae.
UUAAGCGCAAGUUAAACUCAAAAAAUAGUGAAAAGGAAUGAAAUUUCUUAUUUAAAUUAUGAUACAAGAACUCAUUAAGCAGUCUUCAGGAAAAAAGUAGAAUGGGGAAACUAACGCUUCUCCCUUAAAGUAGGCUGCACAAAACUGCAAUGCUCUUAAUUACAUAGUGACGCGUUUAGCACAGAAACUGUAUAAUAAGAGCAGAAGAUUGUCCGGCAGAGUAUAUAAGUCAAUAUGGAAUUCACCCCCUUCAAUGUCGUUUCGGACAUACAUGUCUGGUGUUUUGUUCUCAUUCACCAUCUGCACAACUUGUAACAAGUCAUCCUCCUGAAGUUUUUGCAAACCCUCUGCAAGUUUAUCCAUGUCAACAGGUUUAGCUUUCGCCUUUUUCUUCCCAGCACCAACUUCUGAUUCGUUUUUUCUUUUAUCCUUACGAGCUUCUUCACCUUCAUCACUGUAGCCAGGUACUUCUCCAGUGGCUGUCAGUGCCUUUAAUAAACCUGGCCUAGUAGCAUUGAUAUUCUAAGACUCAGUUAGCACCAUAAAAUCAGAGUCUAGUAAAUGUUAAAAUACUUAAAACACAUACCAAUUCGAUAUCCUCAUGAUAAUGCUCCUGCUGAAAAUGUAAAUAGUGAAGGAACCGAUGUUCACCACCUUUGUCCGCAUAGUAUAUUAUGAUCUCCAUUUCAAACUCACCCCAUCCUUGCUCUUUUAUUUGGAAAGGAGGUUUUCUGAUAGCUAAAAAAAUUAGUUAACGUUAUUCUGCUAAUCUUCCUUUCAUCACAUAAUACAUACUGCGUGUAGGAUUUUGAAAUGUUGGAUGUAGCUUAUAGGUGACACGAUCAACAAAGGAAGCGUCAGUUUCUUCUCCCUGAGGAUUUAAGCAGACCAAUUUUAUAGACCAUUCCCUCACAGGGAAGCUUUGAUCGUUCAACACAGCUGCUUCACCUCCCGGCAACACAUUCUAAAUAUUGUAAGUUCAAAGUUCAUCAAGAUACUUGCAAGAAAAAGUUUUGUUUUUUAUUGUUCUUCUAAAUUCAAUUGUACGAGCAUCCUGUAUAAUGCCAAAGUUUUUUGUAAUUGCACCUAACCUUGACCAUUGGGUCAAAUAACGCGCCUCGGUCGUAGCAAAUGAAUCAGAUGGCUUUCAUACCUGAUCAGUAAUUAAUCUCACAGUUCUUUUCACAGUUGUCAUAUUCUUAAAUCAAUGUAUAUGAGGACGAAAAAUAUAUGGAUAGAAGACGCUUAGCGAGUCGUGAGAAGAGAUAUCGGGCUAACGAUUCUAUAACUUUUGCGGUAUUCUUAAAAUUGAAAAGAUAAAAAAUCUUGCCAAUGUACGAAUUGAAAUAGAAGCACCAGUAAUUUGUGUUCAGAAAUAUUGAGCACUACUACUUUUAAGGACUUCUAAAAGUCGGUUAACUCAAGGAUAAAGCAAAUGACUUUGGUUUAAUAACAAAUAUCUCUUUUGUUAAAAUUUAUUAGCAGAUUACAGGGAAGUAACUGCUAAAACUGUGAGACUAUAAAACGUUUGAAUAGUGGAAUAUGACUUUUGGGUUCGUCACGGCCCAAAUUCCUGGAAAGUACAAGUAGACUUACAAACUGACAGUGAAGGUAUGGUACUGCAGUGUAAUAUAC